GUUAUAACCGGCGAUUUCCGAAUGGGGAAACCCAGUGUGUUUCGACACACUAUCAUUAACUGAAUCCAUAGGUUAAUGAGGCGAACCGGGGGAACUGAAACAUCUAAGUACCCCGAGGAAAAGAAAUCAACCGAGAUUCCCCCAGUAGCGGCGAGCGAACGGGGAGGAGCCCAGAGCCUGAAUCAGUGUGUGUGUUAGUGGAAGCGUCUGGAAAGGCGUGCGAUACAGGGUGACAGCCCCGUACACAAAAAUGCACAUAUUGUGAGCUCGAUGAGUAGGGCGGGACACGUGGUAUCCUGUCUGAAUAUGGGGGGACCAUCCUCCAAGGCUAAAUACUCCUGACUGACCGAUAGUGAACCAGUACCGUGAGGGAAAGGCGAAAAGAACCCCGGCGAGGGGAGUGAAAAAGAACCUGAAACCGUGUACGUACAAGCAGUGGGAGCCUCUUAAUGGGGUGACUGCGUACCUUUUGUAUAAUGGGUCAGCGACUUAUAUUCUGUAGCAAGGUUAACCGAAUAGGGGAGCCGAAGGGAAACCGAGUCUUAACUGGGCGUUAAGUUGCAGGGUAUAGACCCGAAACCCGGUGAUCUAGCCAUGGGCAGGUUGAAGGUUGGGUAACACUAACUGGAGGACCGAACCGACUAAUGUUGAAAAAUUAGCGGAUGACUUGUGGCUGGGGGUGAAAGGCCAAUCAAACCGGGAGAUAGCUGGUUCUCCCCGAAAGCUAUUUAGGUAGCGCCUCGUGAAUUCAUCUCCGGGGGUAGAGCACUGUUUCGGCAAGGGGGUCAUCCCGACUUACCAACCCGAUGCAAACUGCGAAUACCGGAGAAUGUUAUCACGGGAGACACACGGCGGGUGCUAACGUCCGUCGUGAAGAGGGAAACAACCCAGACCGCCAGCUAAGGUCCCAAAGUCAUGGUUAAGUGGGAAACGAUGUGGGAAGGCCCAGACAGCCAGGAUGUUGGCUUAGAAGCAGCCAUCAUUUAAAGAAAGCGUAAUAGCUCACUGGUCGAGUCGGCCUGCGCGGAAGAUGUAACGGGGCUAAACCAUGCACCGAAGCUGCGGCAGCGACACUAUGUGUUGUUGGGUAGGGGAGCGUUCUGUAAGCCUGUGAAGGUGGCCUGUGAGGGUUGCUGGAGGUAUCAGAAGUGCGAAUGCUGACAUAAGUAACGAUAAAGCGGGUGAAAAGCCCGCUCGCCGGAAGACCAAGGGUUCCUGUCCAACGUUAAUCGGGGCAGGGUGAGUCGACCCCUAAGGCGAGGCCGAAAGGCGUAGUCGAUGGGAAACAGGUUAAUAUUCCUGUACUUGGUGUUACUGCGAAGGGGGGACGGAGAAGGCUAUGUUGGCCGGGCGACGGUUGUCCCGGUUUAAGCGUGUAGGCUGGUUUUCCAGGCAAAUCCGGAAAACCAAGGCUGAGGCGUGAUGACGAGGCACUACGGUGCUGAAGCGACAAAUGCCCUGCUUCCAGGAAAAGCCUCUAAGCAUCAGGUAACAUCAAAUCGUACCCCAAACCGACACAGGUGGUCAGGUAGAGAAUACCAAGGCGCUUGAGAGAACUCGGGUGAAGGAACUAGGCAAAAUGGUGCCGUAACUUCGGGAGAAGGCACGCUGAUAUGUAGGUGAAGCGACUUGCUCGUGGAGCUGAAAUCAGUCGAAGAUACCAGCUGGCUGCAACUGUUUAUUAAAAACACAGCACUGUGCAAACACGAAAGUGGACGUAUACGGUGUGACGCCUGCCCGGUGCCGGAAGGUUAAUUGAUGGGGUUAGCGGUAACGCGAAGCUCUUGAUCGAAGCCCCGGUAAACGGCGGCCGUAACUAUAACGGUCCUAAGGUAGCGAAAUUCCUUGUCGGGUAAGUUCCGACCUGCACGAAUGGCGUAAUGAUGGCCAGGCUGUCUCCACCCGAGACUCAGUGAAAUUGAACUCGCUGUGAAGAUGCAGUGUACCCGCGGCAAGACGGAAAGACCCCGUGAACCUUUACUAUAGCUUGACACUGAACAUUGAGCCUUGAUGUGUAGGAUAGGUGGGAGGCUUUGAAGUGUGGACGCCAGUCUGCAUGGAGCCGACCUUGAAAUACCACCCUUUAAUGUUUGAUGUUCUAACGUUGGCCCGUAAUCCGGGUUGCGGACAGUGUCUGGUGGGUAGUUUGACUGGGGCGGUCUCCUCCUAAAGAGUAACGGAGGAGCACGAAGGUUGGCUAAUCCUGGUCGGACAUCAGGAGGUUAGUGCAAUGGCAUAAGCCAGCUUGACUGCGAGCGUGACGGCGCGAGCAGGUGCGAAAGCAGGUCAUAGUGAUCCGGUGGUUCUGAAUGGAAGGGCCAUCGCUCAACGGAUAAAAGGUACUCCGGGGAUAACAGGCUGAUACCGCCCAAGAGUUCAUAUCGACGGCGGUGUUUGGCACCUCGAUGUCGGCUCAUCACAUCCUGGGGCUGAAGUAGGUCCCAAGGGUAUGGCUGUUCGCCAUUUAAAGUGGUACGCGAGCUGGGUUUAGAACGUCGUGAGACAGUUCGGUCCCUAUCUGCCGUGGGCGCUGGAGAACUGAGGGGGGCUGCUCCUAGUACGAGAGGACCGGAGUGGACGCAUCACUGGUGUUCGGGUUGUCAUGCCAAUGGCACUGCCCGGUAGCUAAAUGCGGAAGAGAUAAGUGCUGAAAGCAUCUAAGCACGAAACUUGCCCCGAGAUGAGUUCUCCCUGAGACUUAGAGUCUCCUGAAGGAACGUUGAAGACGACGACGUUGAUAGGCCGGGUGUGUAAGCGCAGCGAUGCGUUGAGCUAACCGGUACUAAUGAACCGUGAGGCUUAACCUUACAACGCCGAAG
This 2819-nucleotide ribosomal RNA is filed under the name Escherichia coli. RNAcentral describes it as "partial 23S ribosomal RNA". It matches the Rfam family "Bacterial large subunit ribosomal RNA". Lineage: Bacteria; Pseudomonadati; Pseudomonadota; Gammaproteobacteria; Enterobacterales; Enterobacteriaceae. The record is from RNAcentral.